AUAAACUUAAAAAAAAACUACGCUAUAUCUCGAAAAUACAUCUGUAAAUGAAGAUAUUCGAAAAUAUAUGGCAGUAAAGCAGGUAUGCGCAUGUGUGCAAAUAAAAAUAGAAAAGUAACAUUAAAACUGUGAUAGAUGGGAAGUUGAUUGAUGGAGUUAUGGUAAUAUUAUGCGGGAGUAAUACAUUCACUCAUCUUGCUGGUUAAAUAAAUAUUACAUCACGGGACUUCUGCUCCUUUCACAAACUUCUUCAAAACAUACUCUUGGCUGCUAUUAGGUUGGGUGAAACUUUUUAGGAAACCAAUAAACAUAAUGCCCUAUUUUUUUGUUUUUUUGUUAAAGGCACACGAGAAGGCGUGGAAAAACGGCAAACGUCAAAGAGGGUGCACAUUCCAAAGCUCUUGUGGACGAUGACACAACUGAAGGUGAAGAAGACAAAAAGAAAGAAAGAAAGGGCACGAAACGGACACGAACUCCGUCGAGUUCGUCAUGUGAAAGCGACUCGCUUUGCUCUAGGAGCGAGUUGCUUCAACCAAUAAAAGAAAAAAAAUUUGGAAGCAAAGAGCCCUCGAUCUCCAGAACCAAAAUCGAAAACUACUUGAGGAAACAUUUUCAUUGCAACGCUGCCUCCAGUCCCAGAUAUUUAACUUGGAAACGAGGUUUAAAUUCCUCCCAUUUGGCGUGCCUGCAAGCCCUGCAGGCUCUGAAAGAGCCCAGAUGCCACUUGAAGGGUAUGACGAAAGACAUGAUCUGCCAGAAAAUCCACCAGCGCCGCGGUUUAUUUCGCAUGCUGAACCCACUGCAUCACAGCCUGCCCAGACUGAAGCAGAGAAGCCAAACUUUUCAUAUACGGAAGACGGCUUUGUAAGUGAUAUUUUGUUACUUAACCACUGCUUAGCAAUUUGUCAUAGAAUAAUAGCAGAAGUCUUUUGCUCAUGUACAGCACAAACACUGCAUUAGUUUUGUGCAACAUAGUUCCAUUGAAGCGUUUUACAAACGAGUCAACUAAUUACAGCUCGCUCACUCCUUUCAUGUUUUUCUGUGCUCGUUGUUAGUGUGAUGAUUUCCUUAUGGUGUUAUGUAAGCAAACAAGUGAAAUUGUCACAGUCAGCUUGGUUGUGCCAUAAUAUGUGUUUGUGGCAGAAGAAAGCUGUGACGUACUUGUGUAAGUGCUGUAAGCCAACUUCAACAAGGUCAAGCAACAUGUGAAAACUGAAUGGGAAUGUUUGGGAGGUAGCACUGUUUGGAGGUAGGAAUGGCAGGAAUUGUUUUUGUCUUUAAUAAACAUGGUAAAAGAAAAAAAAUGCACUAGCCUGCUCGUAGCAGCAGAACCUGUAGCCUCUAUGUGACACUCUGUUAAGGUAAUUUGGAGACUGCCCCUUUUCUAUUUUCAUGGGUUGUGUGUGUACAUGUUACCUAAACUAGUCUGAAGGUCAUUGAUCAUUGCAGUUUUGUUUUUGCAGUCUCACUUGAAGGAUGGCUUUUCUAUUUCUGGUGCACAAGCGGCUAGAAUCUUUGCCAAUAAGAAAGGGAUGCUUGUGUGCAAGGACACAGUACAGGCGCUGUGGAGCAACACGGUCCUUGCCACAAGGAGCGUCAGCGGGAAUGUAGCCCCCAGGAAGAGGGUAUUGGGCGAGCUGCCGAAACAGCAGUUAACCCCAAAGAAGGUGGAUGUCGUAGUGGCUACAAUCCAGCACUGGGACCAGCAGAAGAACGUGUAUGUGUCCGAAACAUUGAAGAAUUUGUCACGGUUCCUCACCAAAGAUACAGGACGUUUCGAAGGCACUUCGAAAGGUGGAAUCCAAAUAACUAAAAAAGCUGAA
Non-coding RNA from Dermacentor andersoni, 1823 nucleotides. The record is from RefSeq and is a predicted model, not a curated record. Lineage: Eukaryota; Metazoa; Arthropoda; Arachnida; Ixodida; Ixodidae.